Molecule: unclassified non-coding RNA, 345 nt
Filed under: uncultured bacterium
Lineage: Bacteria
Description: contains 16S-23S intergenic spacer region
Source: RNAcentral
UCCGGUUUGUCACCGGCAGUCUGGCGUGAGUCCCCAACUUAAUGCUGGCAACACGCCACGAGGGUUGCGCUCGUUGCGGGACUUAACCCAACAUCUCACGACACGAGCUGACGACAGCCAUGCAGCACCUGUGUUACGGCUUUUCGGUACAUGUCAAGCCCAGGUAAGGUUCUUCGCGUUGCCUCGAAUUAAGCCACAUGCUCCGCCGCUUGUGCGGUCCCCCGCCAAUUCCUUUGAGUUUCAACCUUGCGGCCGUAGUCCCCAGGCGGUUCACUUAAUGCGUUAGCUGCGGCACCGGAGGUUACCCCCCGACACCUAGUGAACAUCGUUUAGGGCGUGGACUAC